This 501-nucleotide ribosomal RNA is filed under the name uncultured bacterium. RNAcentral describes it as "partial 16S ribosomal RNA". It matches the Rfam family "Bacterial small subunit ribosomal RNA", at positions 30 to 523 of the family's 1533-position model. The record is from RNAcentral.
AUUGAACGCUGGCGGCAUGCCUUACACAUGCAAGUCGAACGGCAGCACGGGUGCUUGCACCUGGUGGCGAGUGGCGAACGGGUGAGUAAUACAUCGGAACGUACCUUAUCGUGGGGGAUAACGCAGCGAAAGCUGUGCUAAUACCGCAUACGCCCUGAGGGGGAAAGCGGGGGAUCGCAAGACCUCGCGCGAUUAGAGCGGCCGAUGCCUGAUUAGCUUGUUGGUGGGGUAAAAGCCCACCAAGGCGACGAUCAGUAGCUGGUCUGAGAGGACGAUCAGCCACACUGGGACUGAGACACGGCCCAGUCUCCUACGGGAGGCAGCAGUGGGGAAUUUUGGACAAUGGGGGCAACCCUGAUCCAGCAAUGCCGCGUGAGUGAAGAAGGCCUUCGGGUUGUAAAGCUCUUUUGUCAGGGAAGAAACACCGGCUCUAACACAGUCCGGGAAUGACGGUACCUGAAGAAUAAGCACCGGCUAACUACGUGCCAGCCGCCGCUGUAA